Molecule: long non-coding RNA, 1522 nt
Organism: Lactuca sativa (garden lettuce)
Lineage: Eukaryota; Viridiplantae; Streptophyta; Magnoliopsida; Asterales; Asteraceae
Source: RefSeq, a predicted model, not a curated record
AUUGUUCUAGUUCAGGCCAAAGGGUUUGUGAUUGUCACUAUGGAAUUCUUGUGGGUUGCUGAUUAAACUUGCAGGAAAUAUGCACAUGGAUCCUUUGGUUCAUGGUUUAUGCCCAUGACCCGAUUCAUAUCUAUGACCUGGGUAUAUAUGUUGGAAGAAGCGUACUGAGUUCAAAUAUUUUACACACACACAUACACAUUUAGUUGUCUCUCUCGUUCUCACUUUCUUUAAGUUAGGAUUUCAUAAUAGUUUUGUAUAUUGGUGUAAAUUGUUUCGGUUCUUGAUCGUUAUUGUAAACUAUUGUAUUUUAGGUUUAGUGUUUAAUUCAGAGAGUAGAUUAAGACUUUGUAGUGAGGUUUGAAUUUGUAAGUUCUUGAAAACCUUUUGGUUCUUUCUCCUCUAAUGAUAUAAGAACCAUUGAUGUUGUACAUGUUGAGUUUCUAUACCUUUUAACAUGGUAUCAGAGCUCUAAGGCUCCAUUUUUUCGAUUCCGACCACGUGACUGCGUUCUGGUGUUUGUCGAAUCGAAAGGUUGGGCAAAAUACCUAUCUACAAGAAGGUCUGUUUCUGGAUAUAUGGUUUAUUUUAAUAACUCCUCGAUUUCCUGGAAAAACAAGAAACAAAUUUAUUGUUUCUAGGUCAUCUACUGAGUUUGAAUAUGGAGCCCUUGGAUCUGCUACUUGUGAAAUAAUUUGGAUAUUAAAUUUUUUGUUUGAUUUGGGGGUAAAAGGACUCUUAUCUCUAUAUUUUGUGAUAAUGAUUCAACCAUAAAAUUAGCUUUGAAUCCAAUUUUUCAUGAAGGUACUAAACAUUUUGAGGCUCACCUUCAUUUUGUUAGAGAGAAAAUUUCAAGUGGUGUUCUAAAGAUGGUUAAGAUAGUUCCGAUCAAAAUGUUGAUAUUUUGCUGAAGUUUUAAACAACAUGAUUUUUUAUCAAAUAAAAUGGGUUUACUUGAUGUGUUUAAAAAGGAAAAAUAAACAAUUCGAUUGAGGGGGGAUGUUGAAAAUACUUGGUAUUUUCUAAUAUUCAAUCUCAAUAUUUAUUUAUUAUUUAUUUUUGUUUUUGGAUAAUUUGUGUUAGUAUAUGGAGUCCUGGUUUGUAUUCAAAUUGUUGUAAUUCUGGGCAAAGGGUUUGUGAUUGUCACUAUGGAAUUCUUGUGGGUUGCGGAUUAAACUUUCAUGAAAUAUGCACGCGGAUCCUUUGGUUCAUGGUUUAUGCCCAUGACCCAAGCAUAUAUGAUGGAAGAAGCGCACUAUAAAGCAGUUCAAAUAUUUUACACACAUAUACACAUUUAGUCGUCUCUCUCGUUCUCAACUUCUCUCGGUUAGGGUUUCAUAAUAGUUUUGUACAUUGUUGUAAACCAUUUCAGUUCUUGAUCGUUAUUGUAAACCAUUGUAGUUUAGUUUGAGUGUUCUAUUCAUAGGGUAGAUUAGGACUUUGUAGUGAGGUUUGAAUUUGUAAGUUCCUGAAAACCUUUUAGUUCUUUAUCCUCUAAUGAUAUAAGAAUCAUUAUUGUUGUGCA